CAGCAGCAGAUUUCAGUGCCUGAAUCCUUUUGUGGAUCGAAUUGCAGGUACCGCAGGACUCGGACUGAUGGAUAAAGAGUCUUACUCUGUUACUGAGAUGCUGCAGUUGGAAGGAAGGAGUCUGCAACCUUUGCUGUAACUGGAUCAGCCUGGAGAGACUGCUGUUCUCUCAAGGAGCUCUGCUUAAGUCAAAGUGAUUUGCAGAACCAGGGCCUUGGACGCUCUAUCUUCUGGAGGUGUGCACAACUCUGUUCCAAAUAGCACACCAGAUAUUUUAUUCCACUAAUGUUACAUUGUCAUUCAAACUCCUGUUUCAUUGGGAAGAUGGUGAAAGUUGUAAAACUUGAGUUGGACGAAACCCAGCUUGCACUUAGUUGGCAGUUGAGUUUAAGCAAAAAGUAGAUUGUAUACCUUCUACCUGCACUGUGAUUUGAGAAUUAAUUCAACAAACACCAGCAACAAAGGAGUGAGAGCUCAUGAAAGAACAUAGAAAGAGCUCAUCUAAGAGAAUUUCGAUUACUUCAGUGCUUUCAGAAGGACUAGGCCUAAAUAAAAUUCACAUUUAAAGUGCUUAGAGAACUGGCUGCUCAGGCUCUGAGCUUUUAGUUGGUGAAGUGUAGGAAGGCUGGAAAAGGGCACCAGAAGAGCUUGUCUUCAAGAGGCAGAAAAAGAAAGUCACAAGGGAAUUCCAGAGCAGUCAGGUCCCUGACUAUAAAUAAACAAAUAGAUAAAAUAUGCUAAUAGCUAGCCAGACUGACAAAACAAUAGUCAAUACUAGGUUUAUUGAGAACAAAUCAUGUGAAACCAACUUAAUGUAUCUUUUUGUGGCAAGGUAACCAGUCUUGUAUAAAUCCUGCUCUUCCGUGCAUGUACAUUAGCAAGGGCAUCACAAAGAAACUACCUUCUUACACUGUUUCAUUGUCUUGCAGUAUUUCUCAGUCCUUUCGGAGAACAGGAUUUAAUCCAGUGCUUUAGCCUUCUCUUUUUAAAAUGAAAUCCUUCUAAAGGGUUGCUUGGGGUAUAUGAAGUCAACCAACCUGAAGCUUCAACAGGUCUUAGGGGCACCUUUGUUCUGUAUGUUAGAGCUAAAAUAUUUUGCUUCUGUGUUCUGUAAACAGAUAGCAGAUGGCAACUAUGUAACAGCUUUAAAGCUGAUACAAAAGAGCACUAAUUUGCAACUUGCAACUUUCCAAAAAGAUAAACCAAAAAUCCAUCCAUUUGCCCACUUUGCAAACAUUUAACCUAUGGUUAGAUUUUUAUACUCAAACAGUGCAAUACUGCAGUUGGCUUAAGCCAACCUAAAAUUACAUUGUCUCUGAAGGAGCCUGCCGUCCCCUUUUUGUGUCGGUGCUAGUAUUCACACGGUUGUAUUGGCGUUCACGUGGUUGAACAGUAACUGAAUCAGCUCAAUGAUCUCACUU
This is a long non-coding RNA of Aquila chrysaetos chrysaetos, 1421 nucleotides long. RefSeq lists it as uncharacterized. NCBI's taxonomy places the organism in Eukaryota, Metazoa, Chordata, Aves, Accipitriformes, Accipitridae. The transcript has 2 exons. The record is from RefSeq and is a predicted model, not a curated record.